CGGCCCUAAGUGGGACUUCUAGGACCUAUUUAACAGCUGCGUCAGACUAAAAAUGUUAACAUUUUUUUUUACUAAUUAUCUUUUGCUGUUUGGGAUGCUUUGGAACGGUUGCUAAGGAGCCUUGGCCCACACGACCGGAACUGCUGCAACCUUCGCUGGAAUGCGGAGCCCCGCUUUGCCCCCAAGUUUACGGUGCUUCCAGCAUUACUCCUCCCUACAACAAAAUCCCUUCAAACCGAACCCCCCGCUCCGGAGGACUUUAAAAACUGCAGGACUUCACCCUCUCCAUCACGAAGCCAAGGGAAAUCUGACCAAAAGGAUUUUCUUCCCAAAGGCGAAUACAUGAGAGCGCCGGCGGCGUGGGGGCCAUUGCCUUUUGUCAUUACGUAACUGUCACGACUCAGAACGGGGCAGAAAACUUACUUCCUAAGUGUCACAGCAAGACCAUAUGCUCGGCGACCACGUGGCCUAACGGAUAAGGCGUCUGACUUCGGAUCAGAAGAUUGAGGGUUCGAAUCCCUUCGUGUCCUCAGGAGCCUUUGGAUCUCUGCUGAUCUAUGACAAGUGUACUUCAGAAGGAUUUUCCAGGUAUGAAAAGUCACAAUCCCAGUCACUGGAUUUGAACAUGUUAGAAAGAUCUUAACCACUUGAUCUUAAAGAACUUGGUUCCCAUGAACCUUAAUAAGGAAACGUUGGUUAUAUGAUUUUUUUAAACAAUUAACUUGUCUGGUCUCUACCUCAGUUUUCUCAUCUGUAAAAUAGAGACAGGUGAUGGGGGGGGUGGGAAUUUUCAGAGAGAUCAUCUUUACGGUCCCUUCAAAUUUUGUUAUUCUACACCGUGCACUCAGCCGUUUGCUAUAGUUUACUAUUAGGUGAAAAGAGGGAACUGGUGAGAUUUUAUGGUAUUAUUAUGGUAUUAAGAUAUAAGUGGCAGAAGAUGAUCAAAGAAGGAAGAAACUAAUAGAGACUGGAACACCUGGAAAAGAUCUUCGAUUAAAUUCAUUCAUGUAAAAUACAAAGAGGAGAGUGAUGCUUUCUUUCAUCUGAGGAUUCACAGAAAAGGUACAUUUGAUGUGGGUCUUGCAAGAGGAUUUUGCAGCAAGGGAGCAGAGACUCUCCAGGCAGACGGAACUACUUGAGCAAAAGCAGAGCAUGUGAACAGCUUCUGCUCCUGAAGACAGGGACCAGUGGUCAGAUAAAACUGGAGUUUGAUGAAGAGUUUGGGAGGAUAGGGAGUGAUAAGGGGUAAAGAGGGAGCGUCUUGGACCUGAAUUUAAGAGGCAAAAAAAAAAAAAAAAAAAAUCAACAAAAACUGCCGAGACAGGGAACCAAAGCUGGGGAGCGGGUGGGAGCAGGGAGUGAAGAGAAGCGAAUGGCCCGUGGUUCUCAGCCCAAGAAACCCAUCAGAAUCACCUGUGGCCCCUGCAGCCACGCCUGGACGUCACCCUCGGAGAUACUGAUUUAACUGUGCCGAGGGGUGGAGGAAAGGUGGACAUCUUGAGAAAACUCCCUAGUUGCUUAUAAUUUGCUACCAGUGUUAGGAACGCAGGCAGGAAGAUGGGCUGGGUGGGGAGGCGGUCAACAAGCGUAACGGAAGUCAGAGGGCCAGAAAUCAGUUUUUGACAA
Molecule: long non-coding RNA, 1626 nt
Organism: Aethalodelphis obliquidens (Pacific white-sided dolphin)
Lineage: Eukaryota; Metazoa; Chordata; Mammalia; Artiodactyla; Delphinidae
Exons: 3
Source: RefSeq, a predicted model, not a curated record